This 89-nucleotide transfer RNA is filed under the name Bacteroidota bacterium. RNAcentral describes it as "tRNA-Ser". It matches the Rfam family "tRNA". From Rfam's summary of the family: Transfer RNA (tRNA) molecules are approximately 80 nucleotides in length. Their secondary structure includes four short double-helical elements and three loops (D, anti-codon, and T loops). The record is from RNAcentral. RNAcentral also lists the same sequence under 1 other name. Lineage: Bacteria; Pseudomonadati; Bacteroidota.
GGAGAGCUGCCGGAGUGGUCGAUCGGGGCAGACUCGAAAUCUGUUGUCCGCCAGCCGGCGGACCGGGGGUUCGAAUCCCUCGCUCUCCG